GACGAACGCUGGCGGCGUGCUUAACACAUGCAAGUGGUGCGACGAACCAGGGCUUGCCCUGGGGCCAAGCCGCGAACGGGUGAGUAACACGUGAGUAACCUGCCCCGAUGACCGGGACAA
Molecule: ribosomal RNA, 120 nt
Filed under: uncultured bacterium
Lineage: Bacteria
Description: partial 16S ribosomal RNA
Rfam family: Bacterial small subunit ribosomal RNA
Source: RNAcentral